GGAGAGGUGCCAGAGUGGCCGAAUGGGCCUGACUCGAAAUCAGGUGUACGUGCGAGCGUACCGUGGGUUCGAAUCCCACCCUCUCCG
Molecule: transfer RNA, 87 nt
Filed under: Allochromatium warmingii
Lineage: Bacteria; Pseudomonadati; Pseudomonadota; Gammaproteobacteria; Chromatiales; Chromatiaceae
Rfam family: tRNA
About the family: Transfer RNA (tRNA) molecules are approximately 80 nucleotides in length. Their secondary structure includes four short double-helical elements and three loops (D, anti-codon, and T loops).
Source: Rfam by way of RNAcentral